This 180-nucleotide unclassified non-coding RNA is filed under the name uncultured Boliniales. RNAcentral's name for it is "sequence contains ITS2". The record is from RNAcentral. Lineage: Eukaryota; Fungi; Ascomycota; Sordariomycetes; Boliniales.
CGACCCUCAAGCCCACAGCGGCUUGGUGUUGGGGUGAUUCUACGGCUUUGCCGUAGGCCCCGAAAUCCAGUGGCGGGCCUGACGAGACCCCGAGCGCAGUAAUUUCUCUCGCUUUGGGCGUCGCGGCGGGCGACUAGCCGUAAAAACCACAGGCGCCCUUGUGGCCCUGUAACACACCAA